Long non-coding RNA from Eucalyptus grandis, 743 nucleotides. RefSeq lists it as uncharacterized. The transcript is spliced from 2 exons. Lineage: Eukaryota; Viridiplantae; Streptophyta; Magnoliopsida; Myrtales; Myrtaceae. The record is from RefSeq and is a predicted model, not a curated record.
ACCACGUCCGUGUGGUUUUAGCAAGACAGAGGCUUGGUGGGGUUGCUGUCGAAGGGCUCUAUGGCAUGAGCUUCCCUUUGAAGAAGGGGUCGUCGGAGAGAAACAAACACAAAAUGUUGGCAUCAGUGCGGUCGUGGCUUCCGUCUCUCCUAUUCCUCCUCCUAUGCAGACGCUGCCUCCUACCAUUCAGAUGAUUAAUUUGAGCAUCACCCAUCAGACUCAGCGAGAUUGACUGUUCCUGGAGGGCUGAGUAUAGCAUGCAGCACUGCGAAGGCUAUUAAGUGGGACGCCGCAUGGUUGAAUAACAUUGAUCCUUCAGGGCUGCACACUCAGGGUUCACCUUUCACCUUAUGACAAGCAUGUGGCGGCCAAUAAUGCUAGAAUGGUGCAUUCGGAAAUUGGAAGGGACGUAGGGAGUAUGAUGAAAGUUAAUGCUCCAGGACUGGCAAUCUAGAACUAGUAUUUGCUUUCCUAUGGAUGGCAGUACUGUGCCAGCUUCAUUUUGCAAGCUUUACUAGUCAAGUCAUGUCAACAUUAUGUAAAUAGUCGUGUUCUAGUUGUUUGGAUGUGAUGUAUUAGAAUUCCGGAUGUAUUAGAAUUCAGUGAGUUAUAUUCUCUAGCUCCUUGACAUUAGUUUCGAAAUCCUGUUAAGUUUGCUUUAAGUAGCGAGAGAUCCAUGUCAUGGUAUGAUCAAAGCUUGUAUCUGAACUUCAAUAUAAACUAUGUGCUCCUGUUUACGCCAA